GAUAAGGAAGGGCCUUGAUCCUCUAUUUGACAUAAUUGAGAUUGCAAAACCCUAUGCACUGGAGUUGUUAAGAUUCCGUGAAGCUGGAGUUGAAGUUGCCUUGAAGGACUUCAGAAAGAUAUGGGACAGACAGCCCCGUGCAUUCUAUAACUUAUUUGGGCAGGCAGAUAGAGUUGAGAAGGUUGCUGAAACCAUC
Molecule: long non-coding RNA, 196 nt
Organism: Hibiscus syriacus
Lineage: Eukaryota; Viridiplantae; Streptophyta; Magnoliopsida; Malvales; Malvaceae
Exons: 3
Source: RefSeq, a predicted model, not a curated record